GUUAUGUUUUCAUUUUUGUCUUGAAAUAUUUUCUAAUUUCCUUUUUCAUUUCUUCUUAGAUCCGUUGUUUAAGAGUGAGUUGUUUAAUUUACAUAUGUUUGUAGAUUUUCCCAUUUUCUUUCUAUUAUUGAUAUGUAGUUUCAUUCCAUUAUAUUGGAAAAGAUACUUGGAAUUAUCUCACUCUUAUUAAAUUUGUUAAGACUUGUUUUGUGACCUAGCAUGUGAUCUAUCCUGGAGAAUGUUCUAUGUGCAUUUGAGUAAAAUGAGUAUUCUGCUGCUGUGGGAUGAAGUGUUCUUAAGAUGUGUGUAAGGCUCAUUUCAUCUAUGUGUUGUUUGAUUCUGCUGUUUACUCAUUGAUUUUCUGUCUGGAUUAUCUGUCCAUUAUAGAGACUGGAGUAUUGAAGUCUCCUACUAUUAUUGUAUUUCUGUAUAUUUAUCCCUUCAGAUCUGUCAAUGUUUGCUUCAUAUGUUUAUGUGGUUUGAUGUAUAUAUAUUUAUAAUUGUUACAUCUACCUGUUGAAUGGACCCUUUUAUCAUUAUAUAAUGACCUUUGUUUCUUACGACAGUUUUUGAUUUAAAGUCUAUUUUGUAUGAUAUAAAUCUAGCAACCCCUGCUCACUUUUGGUUACAAGGUGCAUGGAAUAUCUUUCCCCACUCCUUUACUUUCAGCCUAUGUAUGUUCUUAAAUCUAAAGUGAGUCUCUUGUAGACAGCAUAUAGUUGAGUCUUUUUUUUUAAUCCAUUUAGCCACUCUAUGCCUCUUGAUUGGGGAGUUUAGUCCAUUUACAUUUACAGUAAUUAUUGAUAGAUAAGGACUCGUUAGCGUUUUUGUAGUUCUCCUGUUCCUCUCUUUUUCUCUUGUUGUCUUUGUUUGUGUUUUGAUGAUUUUUUUAAUGAUGUGCUUUGAUUCUCUUUUCUUUAUGUUUUGUGUAUCUAAUGUACUUUUCUUUUUCAUGGUUGCCAGGGGCUCACAUUGAAAAUUUUAUAGUUAGAGCAGUCUGUUUUAAGCUGAUAACAACUUAACUUCAAUCACAUAUAGAAACUCUAUACUUUACUUCCCCUCUCCCACACUUUAUUUAAUGAUGUCAGAUUUUCCUUCUUUCUAUAUUGUGUUGAGUUGACAUAUUUCUGUGGUUAUAGUUAUUCUUACUAUGUUUGUCUUUUAACUUAUAUAACCAGUGUUAAAAGUGAUUUACACACCACCAUUACAGUAUUAGAUAUUCUGUUUUUCUUUGUAUUUAUAUUUAGCAGUGAGAUUUUUGCUUUUAUAUGCUCUGAUGUUGCUGUUUAACAUCUUUUCAAUUCAACUUGAAGGACUCUCUUUAGCACUUCUUAUAAAGUACAUCCAAUGGUGACAAACCUCCUCAGUUUUUGUUUGUCUCUUUCCUUCUUAAAGGAAAGUUUUUCUGGGUACAAUACUCUUGGUUGGCAGGCUUUUUUUUUUAGUAUUUUGAACAUAUCAUUCCACUUUCCUGGCCUCCAAACUUUCUGUUGAGAAAUCUGUCUAAAGGGGGAAGGGGGGGGUGUCCCUUUUAUGUGACAAGUUGCUUUUUCUUUUUUCUUGCUGCUCUAAAAUUGUCUUUUUCUUUGACUUUUGACAAUUUAUGAUGUGCCUCAGUGUUGCUCUCUUUGGGUUCAAACUAUUUGGAAACUCUUGGGCUUCAUUAAUCUGAAUUUCCUUUUCCUUCUCUAGAUUUGGGAAGCUUUCAGCCAUAACUUCUUUAAGUAAGCUUUUUGCCCUUUUCUCUAUCUCUUCUCCUUCUAGGAAUCCGAUAAUGCAUAUAUUGAUUCUUUUGAUGGUAUACCGUAAGUCCCAUCAGCUUUAUUCACUCUUCUCCAUUCUUUUUCUUUUUGUUCCUCUUACUAGAUAAUUUCAAAUGACCAGUCUUUGAGUUCACUGAUCUUUAUUCUGCUUGAUUGAGCCUGCUGUUGAAGCUGUCUAUUGAAUUUUUUAAUUCAGUCAUUGUAUUCUUCAGCUCCAGGAUUUCUGUUUGGUUUUCUCUCUCUCUCUUUUUUUUGUGAGGAAGAUCAGCUCUGAGCUAACAUCUGUUGCCAAUUGUCUUCUUUUUGCUUGAUGAAGAUCUUUCCUAAGCUAACAUUUGUGCCAAUCUUCCUCUCUUUUUUUUUUGUGGGAUGCUGCCACACAUGGCUUGAUGAAUGGUGUGUAGGUCUUCACCUGGGAUCUGAAUCUGUGAACCCUGGACUGCUGAAUAAGAGUGUGUGAACUUAACCACUAUGCCACUGGGCCGGCUCUGUUUGGUUCUUUUUUAUGGUUUCUAUUUCUUUAUUGAACUUCUCAUUUUGUUCAUAUAUUGUUUUCCUGAUUUCAUUUAGUUGUCUAUCUGUGUCCUCUUGUAGCUCACUGAACUUCUUUAAGAUGAUUAUUUUGAAUUUGUUAAGCAGUUCAUAGAUCUCUGCUUUUUUUUUUAGGGUCAAUUCCUAGAGCUUUAUUAAUUUCCUUUGAUGGCUUCAUGUUUGCCUGAUUCUUCAUGAUCCUUGUAGCCUUGCAUUGGUGUCUGUGCAUUUAAAGGAGCACUUACCUCUUCCCAUCAUUACAGAUUGGUUUUGGCAGUGGCUUCACUAGUCUUUAGCUCCACUGAGGUGUCAACCUCCUACCUGGAUCCUGAAGCUCCCACAAAGGCACUUUUGUCUAUGGUUGGUUGCCAAAUAUGUGUUUCUGUGGGAAGAUAAGAGAUGGGACUGUCCUAUUCUGCCAUCUUGCUGACCUCCAUUUUUUAAAAAAAUCCUAGUCUCCUUAAUCCCCAGAAACCUCUAAUCUGUUCUCUAUUUCUAUGAUUUUGUCAUCUCAAGAAUGUUAUGUAAGUGAAAUCAUUUGCAGGCAACCUUUUGAGAUUGGCCUUUCACUCAGCUUAAUUCUCUGGAGAUCCAUCUGGAUUGUUGUUUUUAUGAAUAAUUUGUCCCUUUUUAUUGCAGAAUAAUAUUUCAUAGUAUAACUGUACCACAGUUUAUUUAACUGUGCAGCUUUAAAGGUUGUUUCUAGUUUUGGGCUAUUUUAUGAAUAAAGCUGCUGUGAACACUCAUGUACAGGUUUUUGUGUGGACAUACCUCUUCAUUUUUCUGGGAUAGAUGUCCAAUAGUGCAGUUGCUGUGUUGUCUGGUAGUUCCACGUUUUAUUUUUUAAGAAACUGCCAACUUUUUUCCAGAGUGACUAUACCAUUUUACUUUUCCACCAGCAAUGUGUGAGUGACUCAGUUUCUCCGCAUCUUCAUCAGCUUAGAAUACGCUUGACAGAAAAGUGACCAUCUACACGUUCAACUGUGGAAGACCUUGUGAAAAAAGAGGUGCCCCACGGAAGACGCACAUAAAGUCCGACCCCGAGACCUCGGCGCUAAUGCUUACGUCAUGUUGCGGCAGCAUCGGGCAACAACUGAGGGAGUGGAACCAGCAAGGAUGUUUUCAGGGACUGCACAAAAGCCGAUAUGAGACAUGGCCGCUGUGAUUUAUGGGAAUCAGUGUCCCAACUUAGUCAAGUAGAUCUGAUAAAAAAAAAAAAAGAAAAGAAAAGAAGAGUCUCUCUUUGACAGAGUUUUACAGAAGCAUUUGCUCUUGCCGGUAUUCAUGGGGUGCCAAGGCGUGGUAUUACUCACUGGCUCCUGUCUUGUGAGUCAGGGAAAAGAUUUCAAGCAUCUACCAGGUGGCAAACACUGCACCAGUUGCUCUGAAGUUAAAUGAAAUGGAAGAGAAGGACCCUGUUCUUGUUAAGGAGACAAGGCUAAACCUCUGAAAGAAUGUAAAACAUUACAAAUUAAAUAUAUUGUGUUGUAAUCAUAAUUGCUGGCAUUUUUUUUUGUAGCAUGUUGCAGUUUUCAAAGUAGUUUUGCAAGCGUCUUUUCAUUUGAUACUAGCCGUAUAUGGAGUGUUUACUAUGUGCUGGAUAUCAGAAAUAUUAUUUCAUUUAGUCUUUCUAAGAACCCUAUGAGGUAGGUGCUGUUAAUCUUUACAGAUGAGAUCCUUUGGCAGUUCUGAGGGUAGUCCGAACAAGCUUUUAAAAUAGAUUCAGAAACAGGCUCAUGGAGGAUAAAAGGCUUCCACAGGGUUGUUUGACUUUAAUGACCUCCUCUUUUUAAUCCUUCCUCUUGGACCGGUCUACAGUGAUGCCAGCAUGUGAACUUUCUGACAUUAAAUGUCCUUAAUAGUCUAUCUUUCUACCAACGCUUAUUUAUAUUUUUAGUCCAACACUUUGUGUGAAGAGGCAGGAUACUUUGUGACGGGUUUGUUGAAGGAUCUGUGUAGCCUCCUAGUUCAUGCCCUCUGCCAUAGGUCAUCCACAUGCCUCUGCCCAGACCUUUUCCCCGAGCUUCCAAAUUAUCCCCUGCCCGGCCCCUGACUAGCCAGCUAGUCUCUGUCGGUGAGUUAAUGUGUACUUUGGCCCCUGACCGUUUGUCCUUCUGCACAGAGUGGAAGACGUGCAUCGCUUGAAGCUCCGGUGGCAGUGCAGCAGCAGCUUCGCCUCUUCCUUCCUACGUCACCAGGUCCUGAGGUCUUUCUCACGCAGCCGUAGGAGAGGUCCUGGUGCGACAGUACUGGAGGACAUGUGGUCUGUGCCACUUACUCACGCAGCCUGCAUGUUACUUCCUUGAGCCUCAGUAUCAUACAUUGAGAGUAUUGAGUUUGAUCACUAAGCUCCUUUCCAGUAAGAAAAGUACCUGAUUUUAUGAAAUAGGAGGCAUUAACUCAUAUGCUAUCAGAUCUUUGCAUGGCUGGCUUCUUGUCACUCAGGUCACCUAGUCACUCUAACGUAUGACCCCAGCUUUUUUUUUUUUUGGUGAGGUAGAUUUGUCCUGAGCUAACAUCCACUGCUAGUCUUCCUCUUUUUUUUUUUUUUGCUUGAGGAAGAUUGGCCCUGAGCUAACAUCUGUGCCAAUCUGCCUCUAUUUUGUUUGUGGGUUGCUGCCUCAGCAUGGCUGAGGAGUGGUGUAGUCUGUGCCUGGGAUCUGAACGCGUAAACCUGGGCCACCAAAGUGGAGUGGGCCGAACUUAACCACUAUGCCACCAGGCCGGCCCCCCCAGCUUUUAAUUUUAGAUAGUGAUAUGUGCAAGGAAGAAAUUCCUUCCUUCCCUUCCUUCCGUCCUUAUUUGUUUCUUUUCUGUCUCUCCUCACUAAAAUGUGAACUGCAGGAGGUCAGAGCCAAUGUUUUAUUCAUGGUUGUAACCCCAGCAUCUAUAACAGUGCCUGGUGCAUAGUAGGUGCUUUAUAAAUAUUUGUUCAAUGAAUGAAUGAAGUCCAUUAAACUGGAUAAAUCCAAUUGUACUUAGAUUGUUAGUAGCCAGACGCCUCACAUUUUAGAGGAGUUCUAAUAGUUCAUCCCAUCUGCCAUCUCGUGCUACACAUAACUUAGGCUGGGUAAAUGGGUUUCCUCAUUGCCAGCAAGUCCCUGGGCAGGAAGUGCCACAGCACCGUCAGCUGCUUACGCAUUAUGUUUGCCAUGCUGUUCCUUUUGACUCUUGUUAGUGCACUGGCUUCUUACAGCCUGGCUAGCUUCAGGAACUGUAUGAAAUAGCAGUUCAAGCCUUGUGGAGAUGAUUUGAGGAUUUGUUUCAAUUUAUGAGUUCUUUGGACCAGUCUUCUCUCCCUUUCAAAGCAGGUCUGGAACCAUCAUGUGGUAAACCCUGUCGAUGCAUUUUCAUCUCGUACUUGCUGGUUCAUUACACUGUCUGGUUUGCAUGGUGCCCCAGUAGAUUGUCAGCUCAUCUGUAUAGCAGUUUAUUCCAUCUGCAAUGCUUCAUUAUUUUCGAAGAAAAAUGCUAUUCGCCCUUGAGCAUGGCUGCAGAUCUUGCUCUGCUGGGGUGCUGGAGAUGAAGCAGCUCUGCAGAUGAAUGCUUGCUUGAGGCCCAGGAAGUGGAAUUUAGUACCUUUCUGAAAUUGAGUGCUUUGGGUAGGAUGGUUAUCUGGAAUAUCUAGGGCAUCCAGGAUGGAAACAAGAGACGCUCUAAGUCUAACUGUAGAACAAGGGCAAGGGGAGGGUGGGAAGAAUGGCAAGUAUGUACCAGGGACUGUGUUGUGCAGUUAUCUCAUUUAAUCCCCUGGCAAACCAAAGGAGAAAACCGGUGCUCAUUGAUUUAAAUACCCACCAGUGAAUAGGCUGAGCUAGUGACUCAACAGACCUGGCUGACAUCAAAGGCCAUGACUUUUUUCACUAUACUGUGCAGCUCCCAGGACAGUGCCUGGUACAUCAGGGAGUGUUCAUUGAAUGAAUGAGUGAAUGAGUGAACGAACGUUGAACAAGCUUGGUUUUACUUCUUUGUGAUUUCCAUUUUAAUGGCCUCUUUUGCACUCUACUCCAGAACUGUCAGCUACCUAGCUCUCCUCCGUGACUUUGGUGCUCCUUGUGGGUCUGCCCUUCUCUUAACUUGAUGAUCCAUUUUUCACCUUGCAUACUCAGCUCCCCUCCCAUUUAGAUCUCUGGUUUUGCUCCUACUCUUUUCGGAACCUUAGCUAAGAAGUUGGUAAAAUAAGGUGUGCCUCAAUGUUUAUGGUGAUCAUUAUGCACUUACCACGGUCGGGAAGAAUUGCUUUAUGCAAAAGUUUAUCUCUGAGAACAGUUAUUUCGAGGACAGUUGUAGUUAGGUAGAGGGUAGACUUUGGGUGGGAGGGAAUUUGAAUGUCUUUCAAAUCAUCCAAGGCUGUCUGCUGCUUAUUCUACUUAUGCUGAGUGCAGUGAAAUUGAGAGGGAAUCCUAGGUACAAGGAGGCUGUGUUUGGGAGAUAGAACAGGGGAUUUAAGGAUAUCCCAGCUCUGAGGAAGGAACCAUCAGCUGGCAGACCAAGACGUUUAAGCUUCCAGUGCUGAAGAAUGAAAACAAAAUGUCUUCUCCAGAUUCCGUCCCUUAAAGAAUUUAAUGAAUAGAAUGGGGAUUUGUUUUCCUAGCUCUUUAAGAAAAUGUGGCUCUGUGUAUAACAAUCUACCAUAUUGUAAGAACCUAUCCGUCAUAAAUAGGGAGGUUUAGGAACAGAGCUUUGAAGCCUUAAAAGCUCCAAAACUACUGCAUCAAUGGUGCUCACUUCACACCACCUCCCAGCCCUCCAGGGGUGCCUCCUUCCUGAAGACCGACCCCAGGAUCUGAGAAGUGUAGAACCUUAGAGGCUGGCCACUCCUGUUUCCUCCCAGUGCGAGAAUCUCCCCAGGGCCGACCUGUGGCCGGCCGGUGGUGUGGCAGGGUGGUUGGGUUCGUGCACUCUGCUUCCGCGGCCCAGGGUUUUGCUGGUUCGAAUCCUGGGCCUGGACAUGGUGCUGCUCGUGGGCCAUAUUGGGGCGGCGUCCCACGUGCCACAACUAGAAGGACUCACAACUAAAAAUACACAACUAUGUAUGGGGGUUGGAGGGCCUUUGGGGAGAAAAAGGAAAAAAAAAAAGAAUCUCUCCAAUAGUUUCUGUGACAUCAUCUUGAAAAUCGUCACCACCUAAAUCAGCCCAUUCAAUUGCUUCCAGGCUAGUAGGGUUAGGAAAUCCUCUUCUUAACUUGUGACUCCCACCUCUUAGUCUGUGUUUUGCCCUUGGGAGGAGAACAGAGUCAGUCCUCUGCCUCUGCCAGGCAUAGCUCUAGCAAUCUCUUGCUUCCAUUACAAGCCUGCAGAGGGUUAAUUAUGCAUGCAGCUCUGCUCUGCAGAGGAAAAGCACAAAAGGCAGUGUUGAAUUAAAGUCACAGAAGCAGUACUUUCUAGCUAAUGGUACUGCCCCUCAUCCCCAAACAGGUAAGUGGGGGUAAAACGUACAAACAUGAAUCACAAUUUUUCUGUUGACUUUGUGACAGACUUUCUGCCUCUGGGCCGCUGCACCCUCAUUUGGAGUUUCUGGCUUUACCUUCAAUGACUCUAAGUGCCGUCAAAAUAACCCCUGCUCUGUGUGUGUGUGUGUGUGUAUGGUGAGGACUAGGGUGGGGUAAGGUGUUAGGAGGGAAGAAGGCUGGAGAUCUAGAUUAUUCUAUAAUUGACAAAGAAGGAAGACCCUUCUGAAAUUUUUGCAGAGUCCUCAAAGAUGCUGCACAGACCGUAGCCAUAGUCACUAAAUUUGAUUCAUCAUUGAAGACAGAGUCCAACUUUUAAAUGUUCUCCCUCUGGACACAGCAUCAUUCAUGUGUUUAGUUGGUAUUUACUGAAUGCCCACUGAAUGGAUAAUCCUAUUGCUUGUUCUGCAUGGAAUACAUUAUCUAAGCCACCUGCGAAUUUGAGAUUGACUAGGAGAGAAAAGUCAGUGAUAUCAGUAAAAUCGUAGUAAUUGUAGCUACCAUUUAUUGAGUGCCUACUCACUAGACAGAUAGUAUAUAAUUCAUGUAACCCCUGUUCCCACCACCUUUCACUGUAAUAUCCUUACAAAGUGGAUAUUAUCAGAGGGUCUGCAACCAGCACGUGUCUGAGCUGGAACUGGAGUCCAGGCUUUUCUGACAGCAUAGCCUUGGUUCUUUCUGUGAAACUACACUGUCUCCCCACAGGGACAGGGACAGAAACCAGUUACAAGGCAGCAACAGCAGCUUUGUACUGAAAGCACUGUGAGUUCAAUCCAGUCCACACAACCUCACUGAGCAUGUAGACAUCUCAUUGGGUAAGUUUAGUCUAGGCAGACGUCCUGGAGGAGGUGUCUCCUUGGCUAAAUCAUAUAAGGAAUGCAGAAUUCGAAUUCAUGGGGAAAUCACUUGGGCUUGCCUUGGAUUUGGUUUGCUUAGGGAUCAAACACAACUGACAAAUGGAAAAGCUCCCCUCCUUCCACUUCCCUCCCUUUUUCCUUCAGUAAGGAGAGAAAGUCUAACUUAAAGCAAGUGGGGAGGGGUCUCUUUUUGUCUGUGCUGAGGUAGAAAAACCCAUCUCCCUAUUCAUCUUCUUCCUCCCUCUCCCCUUAGACUGGAGUUCCCAUCCUGCACUUUGUGGUUUUCACUUAACGAAUGUUAAUGAGAUGGCAUUGUAAUCACCGGAUUUUAUAAAUAUCUCAUCCACAAAUUGGACCACAAAACCCAAAUGAGCCAGCUGAGCAUCUAUAUUCCAUGAGCCUGUGUUUUCCCCACAGUCUUAACCAAAGGAUGUAAAACGUGUUCUUGCUUUGAAGCUGUUCAGGCCCAUGGGUGUUAGAUGCUGAGGACAACUGCUGUUUGCCUGGCCCUAACUCAAGUGGCUUGUUGGGUAUGAGCCUUUCACACAGUCCUGGGUGAUGUAAGGGAUUUAGGCUUGAUCAAUUAUACCCUUUUCAAGUUAACGCUAGAAAAAUGAGAAAUUGAUUUUUUUGACGAAACAAUAUUUUAGAAAUUCAGGAUAUAAAAAUGGGAUUUGACCUCUCUUAUCAAGUCAGCUCUCAUCAUGAUGAUUACAGUCUCCAAUUAUGCCAUAUUUUGUAUGUCAUGGCCGAAUGCGAUCAGCUUGUCAGAUUUGUUCGGGGAGAGGGUAGAGCAAUGAUAAUGCAUCCAGCUGUGACUGCUUUGUGGUGUGAAGGGGAGAACCUGGAGGAUCCAUCUUGUUUGGCAAAUCUGCUGGAGUGAGCAUCCUCAGACACGGGCAUCAGAUUCUAACAAUCCUGCUUAAUCUCUUUGCAGAGAUCUAAUGAGCAAAAGCUAUAUUGAGUAAUUUUUCUGGUGCUUCGUUAUUUUUACCUGGUAUUUCUUACUUUUACCCAAUAUGCUCCUAUUAUUAUACUCAAAUUGUAACCGAAUAAGAAGCGAAGAGCUUACGUACAUUGCAGACAGUCUGUUGACUUACUGGUAGGUUAAACAGCAUUUUGAAGGUAGGACCAAGCUUGACUCACUUUUUAUCCUCAGCACCUAGCACACUGCUCGGCCCAUAGAAAGGACUUAAUUCAGGUUCAUUGAAUACUUUAAAGAGUAAUCCAGCCUUGGAACUGUCUGGAGAAUAGUCCUCAGGCUUCUCCACUGCAGUAAUAUGAAAGAAACCCCAAUUCUUUAAAAUUCGCCAGAAAAAAAUGUUGCUUGCUUUGGGUAAGUGACUGUUUGCAAGGUGGUUAGUUAAUACAAACAUUCGAGUGAUUGGAUAACUGAAAUAAAAAGUAAGUAUAACGGAAGGAGAACAUGACAGAUUUUGUUAAAGAUAAC
Equus caballus (horse) is the source of this 10051-nucleotide long non-coding RNA. The record is from Ensembl. Lineage: Eukaryota; Metazoa; Chordata; Mammalia; Perissodactyla; Equidae.